ACUUGGACGUGCAUUAUUCCA
RNAcentral lists this microRNA (21 nucleotides) under Schistosoma mansoni. Its description in RNAcentral is "sma-miR-8469-3p". The record is from miRBase by way of RNAcentral. Lineage: Eukaryota; Metazoa; Platyhelminthes; Trematoda; Strigeidida; Schistosomatidae.